UGCAAGAUGUAAGUGAAUUUACGUUGGAUGUAUUUUUCGUAAUUGUUCUUUUUCUGUUUUUGUAGUAACUAAGGCUUUUGCUGCUUAAAGACUUGAUCCCUUGCAGCCUAUCAUUUUAUCUCUCCUUGAUCCUGCAGUGAAAUCAUAGGACUGCAUUUUUUUGAGUGAUAUUAUGAUCAUUUCCAUGGCAACAGACUGAUGUCCAAAGUAUGGGAUCAUGACUUCAGUGUGGGAUCAAGGAAGGGGAAAUAAAGUCCUUAUUAAAAUAUGCACUUCGUCAAUAAGAAAAGGAACUCAUGAAAAAUCCAUUAAUUUUAUUAUGCACUUCCUUCUCCAACUGAACCUCUAACAGCCAUAACCAACAGCGUGCGUUGAGGACUCUCAGCAGAACAACCUGGUUUAAUCAAGGCGGCCCCCUUUGGUGCUGCCUCAUCUGCAGGACAUCUCUCUCAACAUGCAAAGCUUUCUUCACUGGAACUUUAGAGGAAUGGGCUGCAGCUACACUAACAGCUAGAUGGCUAGCAGAGAAGAUGUGUGAGCUUCCCUCUCCACCUGUUUGGGGAAAGUGCUGAUGCUUUCAGAACACAGGCACGAUGCAUGCAGAGCUUGGCACCUUUCGCCAGGCAGAGCUGCCUGUAGCAUCGCCCUUUCCAAAUGAGAACAAAAUGUCUCGGAAUGGCACUGCUGCUUGUGUGAAUGGUGCUGCUUCUGUGAGAGCUGAAACUGAUAAACUUGCUAACAGAGCCAAGCUGGCAUUUGCUGAGUGUUAUGCAUUUGCUGGAGAAUUAUAGACUCUGCAUUUUGUGGGAGAAACACAUUUUCUUGUGUGCCCGGAGUGUGCUUAUGUUCCCUGUCCUGAGGGGCAACUGAUGGACAACCUCUGGGCAUGGCUGAGGAAACUACAACAGGAGGACUGCUGGAUUGAACCUCUGGUGGAUAGUGAGCAGUUGACUGUUCCUUAUGCAUCAUCUAGAGCUCUGAGAAAAAGAUGGGGAAGAGAUGAGCGUUCUUGGCUUCUAGUUAAGAGAGAAAUGUGUCUAAGUAUACAGAACUUCGUUUGCUUUGCUUCCUACCUGUAG
RNAcentral lists this long non-coding RNA (1079 nucleotides) under Numida meleagris (helmeted guineafowl). Its description in RNAcentral is "lncRNA (ENSNMEG00000018980.1)". The record is from RNAcentral. Lineage: Eukaryota; Metazoa; Chordata; Aves; Galliformes; Numididae.